This 923-nucleotide long non-coding RNA is filed under the name Homo sapiens (human). RNAcentral's name for it is "non-protein coding lnc-LRRC70-3:1". Lineage: Eukaryota; Metazoa; Chordata; Mammalia; Primates; Hominidae. The record is from RNAcentral.
GGGGGAGAUUAGUCACGGGGAACUCUUGUAUAUACCAAACAGGCAAGAGACUUAUUGCAGUUUAUCAGUGCCAUUUUACUAAAAACUCCCGGUGAGACAGAAAUACUCAAGUUUUUCGGACAGGUCUUCCUCUCACAGGUCUGCCUCCCCUGUCUAUUGUCUUCUUACAUACUUUAUACUUCACCCAUUUAUUAUUUGUUUCCCAUUUAUUUGUCUCCCCACUAUAAAAUAUGCUUCACAAGUCUUGGAUUUUUUUUUGUCUUUUUAGUUAAUCGAUGUAUCUCAAGUGCCUAGACUAGUGUCUGGCAUUUGCAGGUGUUCAGUAUAUAUUUAUUGAAUUAAUAAAUAUGGAAAAGCCUAAUGAUAAAGCAAGAAAAUAUCAGAAAGGGGAUUGGAGAGCGCAGGAUUAGAAAAAAGGGUGUUAGAUAUUCCCAGUGAAAAGUAUUAUUAAAUUUUGUUGGCUUGAUAUGCUCCAUUUCAGUAUAGGAAGAUACUGAAUGGACUGUUCAUACAUUCAUUCAUUUUUUUCAGCCAUUCAGCACACUAUUUACUCUUGCAGUGUUUUUUGUAGAUAUUUCUGUCUUUACUCUGAUAAAAUUUGUAUUCCAUAUUGUUGUUCUUGGACCUCUGUCUCUUACCUUUUCUGUCUUCUGUCUGAGAAAUCAUAAUUUCUGUUACUGUUUAGUUGAUCAUACAUUUACUGAACAUCCUUCACACUGUGCUAGGUAAUGGCAUUUAUAGAUGAGUAAAACAUCAUUCUUUCCUUUAAACAGUUCAUGAUUUGGAGAUGAGAUAGAAGUAAACAAGGAAGUAAGUACAGCAAUAGAAGUGUGUACUAUGCAGAACAGUAGCAUGGAGGAAGGAGCGCUUUACUGUCUACAGCAGUUAAAGAUUUCCUCAGGAGGUGAUGUCUACCAUGAACA